RNAcentral lists this ribosomal RNA (73 nucleotides) under Pestalotiopsis neglecta. RNAcentral describes it as "partial 28S ribosomal RNA". Lineage: Eukaryota; Fungi; Ascomycota; Sordariomycetes; Amphisphaeriales; Sporocadaceae. The record is from RNAcentral.
UUUUUAAUGGUUGACCUCGGAUCAGGUAGGAAUACCCGCUGAACUUAAGCAUAUCAAUAGGCGGGAGGGAAUA